CCAGUGUACAGCAGUGUGCAUACAGAAACUGCUCCAAAAGUAAUAGUUUAUGGAAAAACCAACUGACGCUGCAAAAAGUUCUUUCUUUUGUUCUAGGUAGAAGAAAAUCCAGCGGUCUCCAGUGAUCUUUAGACAUCUUCCCACAUAUGGCAGAUUUUCUGGGAAGGCACUUAGUAAAAAGUGGCAACAGGCUCAGGGAUGCAAGGAGAACUUUCUUCAUAGCCUUAUCCAGGAGGUCAAACCACAGGAGGACAUCUCCUGAAAUUAUCAAGAUGCUGAUGGUGGCUGAUUGGAUGUUUGGUUUCUCAUUGUGAGCUGGCUCAUCUUGCCCUCCAGACUUGCCUGAAAACUCCUUAUUGGAUGUUGAGCCCUGAACGAAUUCCUGUCUGCUGCCACGUGCUGAGUCACGGUUCGUGUGACUCCUCACUGACUCCUGGCUGCCUGCUAGGCAGAUGGGCCUGCCGGGACUGAGAGGAAGCAGCGGCCAGCCAGACACCCACACCUCCAGGCAGAGUCACUUCUGAGAUGCCGUCUUCCGUCCUCGGGGUGAAAACGAGUCAUCGGCCAGCUGGGUGGGGAGAGAGGAGUGGGGUGGGGGUCGGCUGACAUCAUGCCUGAUCUUUCCUGCCGGGUUUGAGGGAAGGUCAUGCUUAAGCUUGACUUUUGAGGGAAAAGGAGGUGAUGUCAUCGAUGAGCUUUCUCUGCUUGAGCUUCAGGGGAUGGAGUCACUUCCAGACAGGAAUCUGGGCCUGGAGCAAGAACAGACAGGACACCAGCAGCUCCCUGCCCUCACUUUGCCUGACUGAGAUGCUCUGCUGGAAUUGGGCUACAAGACUGCACAGAAUGCAGCCUGUCUUCUUAUACAGACAGGGCACUGAGCAGAAGCAGAGUGGUCCAUCAGACAACAGCCUUGCUUAAGAGGACUGACUUCUGGUGAACGGCCCUUACAGUGAGUAACUAAUUCAUCCAAGAGCGGAUAUUAGUCAUUUCCUCAGGCAAAGGUAAACAUCAAUGGGGGCAGGGUUUGGAAAUUCAUGCCAAGUGGUCAGUGUUGAGGAAGCCAUAUAAGGUAAGAGUGAUCACAUACAUUAUUCACGUUUAUUCAUUCAACAAAUACUUAUUGAACAUCAACUAUGUGCUAAGCACCAGAUUUAGGGGGAUGCAAGUU
RNAcentral lists this long non-coding RNA (1168 nucleotides) under Bos indicus x Bos taurus (hybrid cattle). Its description in RNAcentral is "lncRNA (ENSBIXG00005030046.1)". The record is from RNAcentral. Lineage: Eukaryota; Metazoa; Chordata; Mammalia; Artiodactyla; Bovidae.